This 254-nucleotide ribosomal RNA is filed under the name uncultured bacterium. RNAcentral describes it as "partial 16S ribosomal RNA". It matches the Rfam family "Bacterial small subunit ribosomal RNA", at positions 524 to 776 of the family's 1533-position model. The record is from RNAcentral.
UACAGAGGUGGCGAGCGUUGUUCGGAUUUACUGGGCGUAAAGGGCGCGUAGGCGGCGCGUAAAGUCGGACAUGAAAUCAUUGGGCUUAACCCGAUGGCUGUGCCCGAUACUUGCGUGCUUAGAGUGCGGGAGAGGCAAUCGGAAUUCUCGGUGUAGCGGUGAAAUGCGUAGAUAUCGAGAGGAACUCCGGUGACGAAGGUGGGUUGCUGGACCGACACUGACGCUGAGGCGCGAAAGCUAGGGGAGCAAACGGG